GAUGAACGCUGGCGGCGUGCCUAAUACAUGCAAGUCGAGCGAACAGACGAGGAGCUUGCUCCUCUGACGUUAGCGGCGGACGGGUGAGUAACACGUGGAUAACCUACCUAUAAGACUGGGAUAACUUCGGGAAGCCGGAGCUAAUACCGGAUAAUAUAUUGAACCGCAUGGUUCAAUAGUGAAAGACGGUUUUGCUGUCACUUAUAGAUGGAUCCGCGACGCAUUAGCUAGUUGGUAAGGUAACGGCUUACCAAGGCGACGAUGCGUAGCCGACCUGAGAGGGUGAUCGGCCACACUGGAACUGAGACACGGUCCAGACUCCUACGGGAGGCAGCAGUAGGGAAUCUUCCGCAAUGGGCGAAAGCCUGACGGAGCAACGCCGCGUGAGUGAUGAAGGUCUUCGGAUCGUAAAACUCUGUUAUUAGGGAAGAACAAAUGUGUAAGUAACUAUGCACGUCUUGACGGUACCUAAUCAGAAAGCCACGGCUAACUACGUG
RNAcentral lists this ribosomal RNA (497 nucleotides) under uncultured bacterium. RNAcentral's name for it is "partial 16S ribosomal RNA". It matches the Rfam family "Bacterial small subunit ribosomal RNA", at positions 28 to 507 of the family's 1533-position model. The record is from RNAcentral.